This 425-nucleotide ribosomal RNA is filed under the name uncultured bacterium. Its description in RNAcentral is "partial 16S ribosomal RNA". It matches the Rfam family "Bacterial small subunit ribosomal RNA", at positions 354 to 796 of the family's 1533-position model. The record is from RNAcentral.
GUGGGGAAUAUUGCACAAUGGGGGAAACCCUGAUGCAGCGACGCCGCGUGAGUGAAGAAGUAUUUCGGUACGUAAAGCUCUAUCAGCAAGGAAGAAAAUGACGGUACUUGACUAAGAAGCCCCGGCUAACUACGUGCCAGCAGCCGCGGUAAUACGUAGGGGGCAAGCGUUAUCCGGAUUUACUGGGUGUAAAGGGAGCGUAGGUGGUAUGGCAAGUCAGAUGUGAAAGCCCGGGGCUCAACCCCGGGACUGCAUUUGAAACUGUCAGACUAGAGUGCAGGAGAGGUAAGUGGAAUUCCUAGUGUAGCGGUGAAAUGCGUAGAUAUUAGGAGGAACACCAGUGGCGAAGGCGGCUUACUGGACUGUAACUGACACUGAGGCUCGAAAGCGUGGGGAGCAAACAGGAUUAGAAACCCGGGUAGUCC